CAAUGGAGCUCUAAAAGAAGUGCUAGAACACGCUAAGGAAGCCCAUGAUUCUGCUACCAAUUUGAGAAUGGAAUAACCCACUUAACAAGCAACAGUCAUUCAGGCAUCCAUAUACACAAUUAGCAUGGGAAAUACCCAUGCCAAUCCCCUUUUCUACUUUGUUUUGAGGACAUCGUUCUAGAUAUUCCUUAGCUGCCCAAUUUCCUUCGCUGUUCAAAGUUCAAAGUUCGUCAAGACGACCCAAAACUGCAAAGAUUCCUUCAAGCCAAAACUAGAGCAAAACAUACGAAAAGAUCUGACAUACCAAGAGAUAUGUCAAGCAUAAACUUUGAAUUCAGCCAUUCAAGCGAACCUUAUGGCUCGUGCCCAAUAUGAACUCGGUGGUCACUGCUGGUCCGGUUCUUUUGCCGACCAUGUUCGAUCUUAAAGCAGGCAUCUGGUAGCAUCCCCAAUUCCACCAUUAUUGCGUCAGACGAACCUCUCGACCUGGCUCCCGUCUUCGUCAUCAAAGUCUCUUUGAAAACUGCGCCACCGACACAUACGGUCUCAUUCACCGUACUCUAGCAAGUUCCACCAAGAUCUGGACUCGUCGACCAUGAUGAAGAUGCUCGUGUUAGCAAAGUCGCGCGGAGUCCCGUUUUCAUGACAAUUUUUCCUCUAUGGAUGGGAUGAUUUAUCUUCCGAGCCAGGUAUUUUCCAGCCCAUCUUUUGUGUUUAUCGCUUGGAGUUUGCCUUUUACCUCUAUCCACCAAUAUGAAGAACCCCCAGUGUACUGGCGCGCAUAUCCCAGGCAAACUCCAACAUAUCGUUCAUUCUAGAUUGAAAUACGUUCACAGUCCGCAUCGUAUACCGCGAUACAUGUUUCUGCAACUUAGGAUUCCCGAGAACCCGAAGUAAAAGCGGAACAGAUGAAAGCAAGGCGAAAAAUCUUUCCUGCUUGCCCUGAAUGUGACUUCUUGGUCACAGUUGGUGACAAUUCUUCUCAAUUUCAAACACCACCUCUCCAAAAAUAGAACAAGGGAAAACAAAAAAAAAAAGCCCCAAAAAGGCAACACAUUAGCUAGACGCCAAGGAACACCCACACGAAAAUGCUCCAGAGAGAUGUCUAUUUUUAAACAAUGGCUUUAUUCCCAAAUCUCCACUUCUCAACUAGUUGUUUGACUGCCCUGAUAAGAUCCACUGCUGGGAUAGCAGCAUACGAGUACACAAUCCCCCACCCCUCUCCCUUGUCAAAAAUUCCCAAGCAGUACGUAUGUCAACACGCGUAACUCGCAAACCAAGAAUCCACUUUCUCAUCUAUAUGAGGUUUCAAAGGCAAAGGAAUAUGAUCUCUCGUCAAUGAGGCGGCCUCCGUUCAGUCAGCGAAAUCCCUGCUGGGCUCUCAUUUGAGCAUUGUAAAUGCGUUUGUUCUCCUGCUUGAUCGGAUCUUUCUGUGCAUACGUAUGCGCUACACACGCGUCGCUGCGGCUAGUCAUGAUUCUCUCACCAUUCAUGCAAUGCGUCUGGAGUUGAGUUGGGGGUGAUUUCAUGAUAAAAAUAGUAAUAUCAAACAAACACGUAACACUGAUGAUGGAGAGUGAUCACAUAAUAAUGAAAAAAAGGAAAGGGAAAAACCAGAAAUUUGGUUCGGUUUCUCGGGGCGG
Molecule: small RNA, 1643 nt
Filed under: Histoplasma capsulatum var. duboisii H88
Lineage: Eukaryota; Fungi; Ascomycota; Eurotiomycetes; Onygenales; Ajellomycetaceae
Description: Histoplasma capsulatum H88 hypothetical RNA
Source: RNAcentral